UGACUGGAGUUGGGAAUGAAAAUUCUGAUAUAGAUAUUCAUGUGGAACUUGAUAAGAGUCCAUGGAGAACAUCACACAAUAUAGCAGUCGAACAUAUUUAUAAGGCAGCCGAUGUGCUUUACAGAAAUUUUAGUGAAACUUGGGUCUCUGUAGGCACAAUUACUAAUAAACUUAUUCCAAUUAUAUGCUUAAUUCAUUCAAUAUUGAAGUCGAUGUUAAUUUCUCAGAUCGAUUUUCAUCACCGCAUGAUGAUUUGCUCAAUUAUUUCUUUGAUUUGCAGCCCAUUGCUCGUUAUAUGAUUCACUAUUUGCGUCGUAGAACAAGAAGUCUUGAACUUCAGCAGCAUCUUCGUAGUCAUCAUCACUCUUUGAUGGUUGUCUAUUUUCUACAAAUCAAAAACCUCCUUCUGCAAGUUGUGACAAUGGGUGAAGACUAUGAGAUAAAUGUGGAAAAUAAAUUGAAAAUAAAAAGACUUGUAGCCAACACCAAAAAUACUAAAUACAUCUUAAAGGAAUAUUUAAAAUUUUAUGCAAACUUCGAUUAUAAUAAAUAAGCGAUUUGCCCUUAUUAUGGGACAUGGAUAACUAGAGCAAAACUGACGCAUUUAAUACCAAAGUCCUUCGAUUUUAAAAUUGCCUCAUUCAUUAAGCCAAUUGUCAUUCAAGACAUUUUGCAGAUAUACUACAAUAAGGCAAGGAGUAUCAAACUUGAACAUUUUACGAAAUUCUUAUUAAAUACAGAUUUACUUUAAUGCUUUUGUUAAUAUAAGAUUUAUGACUAGUCUUGUGUGGAAAUAUCAAGUUCUAUAUGAAAUCAGCUCAUAACCAAAAUUUGUUGCAUACUUUUAUGAGAAGCGCAAAUGUUUUAAAAGAUGCCGAGAAGUAGGCAAAGUUUUUUGUAAUUGUUUUGUAAA
Long non-coding RNA from Drosophila sulfurigaster albostrigata, 913 nucleotides. RefSeq lists it as uncharacterized. Lineage: Eukaryota; Metazoa; Arthropoda; Insecta; Diptera; Drosophilidae. The transcript has 5 exons. The record is from RefSeq and is a predicted model, not a curated record.